This 924-nucleotide ribosomal RNA is filed under the name uncultured bacterium. RNAcentral describes it as "bacterial SSU rRNA". It matches the Rfam family "Bacterial small subunit ribosomal RNA", at positions 84 to 1022 of the family's 1533-position model. The record is from RNAcentral.
AGCANUCUCUAGUGGCGAACGGCGGAGUAAUACAUGAGGAACGUGCCGGAAAGCCGGGGAUAUACAGUCGAAAGACUGGGCAAUACCCGAUGUGGCGCCCGAGGGGCAUCCCUUGGUCGUUAAACGGUUUUUCGCUUUCCGAGCGCCUCAUGACUCAUCAGCUAGUUGGUAGGGUAAUGGCCUACCAAGGCGACGACGGGUAGGGGGUCUGAGAGGACGAUCCCCCCGAGUGGGACUGAGACACGGCCCACACACCUACGGGUGGCAGCAGUUGGGAAUCUUGCACAAUGGGGGAAACCCUGAUGCAGCGACGCCGCGUGGACGAUGAAGGAUUUCGGUCUGUAAAGUCCUUUUGCUAGGAAAGACUUAGGACGGUACCUAGCGAAUAAGCCCCGGCUAACUACGUGCCAGCAGCCGCGGUGAUACGUAGGGGGCAAGCGUUGUCCGGAUUUACUGGGCGUAAAGGGCGCGUAGGCGGCCAUUUAAGUGUGGUGUGAAAUCUCCAGAGCUCAACUCGGAAACUGCACCGCAUACUGGAUGGCUGGAGGAUGGUAGAGGUAAGUAGAAUUCCCGGUGUAACGGUGACAUGUGUAGAUAUCGGGAGGAAUACCAAUGGCGAAGGCAGCUUACUGGGCCAUUCCUGACGCUGAGGCGCGAAAGCGUGGGUAGCAAACAGAAUUAGAUACUCUGGUAGUCCACGCCCUAAACGAUGGAUACUANGCGUCAAGGGUAUCGACCCCCUUGGUGCCGCAGCUAACGCAUUAAGUAUCCCGCCUGANGAGUACGGCCGCANGGUUGAAACUCAAAUGAAUUGACGGGACCCCGCACAAGCGGUGGANCAUGUGGUUUAAUUCNAUACUAACCGAAGAACCUUACCCAGGUUUGNCAUCGCGUGCAAGCUCCUGAAAGGGAGCCCUCUUCCCA